RNAcentral lists this non-coding RNA (865 nucleotides) under Pan troglodytes (chimpanzee). Lineage: Eukaryota; Metazoa; Chordata; Mammalia; Primates; Hominidae. The record is from RNAcentral.
UGACAACCCAGAGGCUCUAAGACAGGUGUCCCCAACCCUAGUCUGUGGCUCAUUAGGAACAGGUUGCACAGCAGGAGGUGAGUGAGUGGUGGGCGAGUGAGCAAAGCUUCAUCUGUGUUUUUACAACCAUCACUCGCAUUACUGCCCGAGCUGUGCCUCCUGUCAGAUCAGCGCAGCAUUAAAUUCUCAUAGGAGUGGGAACUCUAUUGUGAACUGAGCAAGUGAGGGAUCUAGGUUGCAUGCUUCUUAUGAGAAUCUAAUGCCUGAUGAUCUGUCACUGUCUCCUAUCUCAUCUAAUUGCAGGAAAACAAGCUCAGGGCUCCCACUGAUUGUACAUUAUGAGACGGAGUCUUGCUAUGUUGCCCAGGCUGGUCUUGAACUCCUCACCUCAAGCGAUCCUCUCGUCUUGGCCUCCCAAGUGUCAGGAUUACAGGCAUGUGCUAUCACACCCAACCUGAUACAUUGCCUUUAUAAAUUUUUUUUUCUUUAUUCUAAAAACCAGAAAAAACAAAACUGGAUACAUGUGCAGAACAUGCAGACCAAGUGUGUUGGGGACUUGAGAUGCGUACAUGAGUGUUUGUGAUGUUUCCUGCCGAAAGCACAGGUGAGACGUGGUCUUGUAACACAGUGGUUAAGAAUGUGACUUUGGAGCCAGCCUGCUAGGGGCUGAAUUCUGACUCAGCCAUUUACUAACUGUGUGACCUUAGGUAAGUCAUUUACCUUCUCUGUCCCUCAGUUUCAUCUCGGUAAAGUAGGGAUAAUGAUAGCACCUAUUUUAUAGGGUUAUUGUGAGGAAUAAAUCCAAGUAAAAUGCUUAGAAUAGUAACUGAAACAUAGCACUCAUUAGGAAUGCUUUAAUUUUCAU